This 209-nucleotide long non-coding RNA is filed under the name Elaeis guineensis (African oil palm). RNAcentral's name for it is "long non-coding RNA (EGUI_LNC045862)". Lineage: Eukaryota; Viridiplantae; Streptophyta; Magnoliopsida; Arecales; Arecaceae. The record is from RNAcentral.
UCUAAUUAAUAAAGAAAUAUAGGAUUAACUUUCUAUAAUAACGAUCUGCUUAGAGAUUCAUUUAGAAGCAAGGGAUCUCACAAACACGUCGAUGAGGACUUUUGGAUGAGGGAGGAUUUGGAUGUUGAAUCAGGCCGCGGUUGUUGGUAAUUCUUUCUAUUAUCCAAGAACAAAGAGAUUCGAUUCGAGCGUGUGAAGAAUUGCGGCGU